AGCGAACGCUGGCGGCAGGCCUAACACAUGCAAGUCGAGCGCCCGUAGCAAUACGGGAGCGGCAGACGGGAGAGUAACACGUGGGAACGCGCCCUUCGGUUCGGAAUAACUCAGGGAAACUUGAGCUAAUACCGGAUACGCCCUUACGGGGAAAGAUUUAUUGCCGAAGGAACGGCCCGCGUCCGAUUAGCUAGUUGGCGGGGUAAUGGCCCACCAAGGCGAUGAUCGGUAGCUGGUCUGAGAGGAUGAUCAGCCACACUGGGACUGAGACACGGCCCAGACUCCUACAGGAGGCAGCAGUGGGGAAUUUUGGACAAUGGGGGCAACCCUGAUCCAGCCAUUCCGCGUGAGUGAUGAAGGCCUUCGGGUCGUAAAGCUCUGUCAGAGGGGAAGAACCGCCGGGUGGCUAAUACCUGCCUGGUCUGACGGUACCCUCAAAGGAAGCACCGGCUAACUCCGUGCCAGCAGCCGCGGUAAUACGGAGGGUGCAAGCGUUGUUCGGAAUUAUUGGGCGUAAAGAGCGUGUAGGCGGUUUGUUAAGUCUGAUGUGAAAGCCCUGGGCUCAACCCAGGAAGUGCAUUGGAAACUGGCAGACUUGAAUACGGGAGAGGGCAGUGGAAUUCCUAGUGUAGGAGUGAAAUCCGUAGAUAUUAGGAGGAACACCGGUGGCGAA
RNAcentral lists this ribosomal RNA (673 nucleotides) under uncultured soil bacterium. RNAcentral describes it as "bacterial SSU rRNA". It matches the Rfam family "Bacterial small subunit ribosomal RNA", at positions 28 to 719 of the family's 1533-position model. The record is from RNAcentral.